CCUACGGGUGGCAGCAGUGAGGAAUAUUUGUCAAUGGCCGCAGGGCUGAACCAGCCAAGUCGCGUGAGGGAUGACGGUCCUAUGGAUUGUACACCUCUUUUGUCAGGGAGCAAAGGGCGCCACGUGUGGCGUUUUGCGAGUACCUGAAGAAAAAGCAUCGGCUAACUCCGUGCCAGCAGCCGCGGUAAUACGGAGGAUGCGAGCGUUAUCCGGAUUUAUUGGGUUUAAAGGGUGCGCAGGCGGAAGAUUAAGUCAGCGGUAAAAUUGAGUGGCUCAACCUCUUCGAGCCGUUGAAACUGGUUGUCUUGAGUGAGCGAGAAGUAUGCGGAAUGCGUGGUGUAGCGGUGAAAUGCAUAGAUAUCACGCAGAACUCCGAUUGCGAAGGCAGCAUACCGGCGCUCAACUGACGCUCAUGCACGAAAGUGUGGGUAUCGAACAGGAUUAGAUACCCCAGUAGUC
Molecule: ribosomal RNA, 459 nt
Filed under: uncultured bacterium
Lineage: Bacteria
Description: partial 16S ribosomal RNA
Rfam family: Bacterial small subunit ribosomal RNA
Source: RNAcentral